RNAcentral lists this ribosomal RNA (328 nucleotides) under uncultured eukaryote. RNAcentral's name for it is "partial 18S ribosomal RNA". It matches the Rfam family "Eukaryotic small subunit ribosomal RNA", at positions 1470 to 1796 of the family's 1831-position model. The record is from RNAcentral.
CCCUUAGAUGUUCUGGGCUGCACGCGCGCUACACUGAUGCGCUCAACGAGUUUUAACCUUGCCUGGAAAGGUUGGGUAAUCUUUUUAAAACGCAUCGUGAUGGGGAUAGAUUAUUGCAAUUAUUAAUCUUCAACGAGGAAUUCCUAGUAAGCGCGAGUCAUCAGCUCGUGCUGAUUACGUCCCUGCCCUUUGUACACACCGCCCGUCGCUACUACCGAUUGAAUGGCUUAGUGAGGUCUCCGAAUUGGCUUUGGGGAGCCGGCGACGGCACCCUAUUGCUGAGAAGCUGAUCAAACUUGGUCAUUUAGAGGAAGUAAAAGUCGUAACA